GUCUAGCCUGGUAGGACUUCGGCCUCCCGAGCCGGCGACCCGGGUUCAAAUCCCGGCG
The sequence is a transfer RNA, 58 nucleotides long. It matches the Rfam family "tRNA", at positions 10 to 65 of the family's 71-position model. Rfam says of the family: Transfer RNA (tRNA) molecules are approximately 80 nucleotides in length. Their secondary structure includes four short double-helical elements and three loops (D, anti-codon, and T loops). Further hydrogen bonds mediate the characteristic L-shaped molecular structure. tRNAs have two regions of fundamental functional importance: the anti-codon, which is responsible for specific mRNA codon recognition, and the 3' end, to which the tRNAs corresponding amino acid is attached (by aminoacyl-tRNA synthetases). tRNAs cope with the degeneracy of the genetic code in two manners: having more than one tRNA (with a specific anti-codon) for a particular amino acid; and 'wobble' base-pairing, i.e. permitting non-standard base-pairing at the 3rd anti-codon position.